Molecule: ribosomal RNA, 464 nt
Filed under: uncultured bacterium
Lineage: Bacteria
Description: partial 16S ribosomal RNA
Rfam family: Bacterial small subunit ribosomal RNA
Source: RNAcentral
GACGAACGCUGGCGGCGUGCCUAACACAUGCAAGUCGAGCGAAUGAAGUUCCUUCGGGAAUGGAUUUAGCGGCGGACGGGUGAGUAACACGUGGGCAACCUGCCUCAUAGAGGGGAAUAGCCUUCCGAAAGGGAGAUUAAUACCGCAUAAGAUUGUAGUAUCGCAUGAUACAGCAAUUAAAGGAGCAAUCCGCUAUGAGAUGGGCCCGCGGCGCAUUAGCUAGUUGGUGAGGUAACGGCUCACCAAGGCGACGAUGCGUAGCCGACCUGAGAGGGUGAUCGGCCACAGUGGGACUGAGACACGGCCCAGACUCCUACGGGAGGCAGCAGUGGGGAAUAUUGCACAAUGGGGGAAACCCUGAUGCAGCAACGCCGCGUGAGUGAUGACGGCCUUCGGGUUGUAAAGCUCUGUCUUCAGGGACGAUAAUGGCGGUACCUGAGGAGGAAGCCACGGCUAACUACGUG